AGGUAUGUGCUUUUUGCGCUCUGCUCUGCAAAAGCGGAGGUUAGUAAUUUGAUUUUACUCGUGCCUU
This 67-nucleotide transfer RNA is filed under the name Eurytrema pancreaticum. RNAcentral's name for it is "tRNA-Cys". Lineage: Eukaryota; Metazoa; Platyhelminthes; Trematoda; Plagiorchiida; Dicrocoeliidae. The record is from RNAcentral.